UGGGAAAGGAAUACCCUUGACAUGGUCUC
Molecule: non-coding RNA, 29 nt
Filed under: Rattus norvegicus (Norway rat)
Lineage: Eukaryota; Metazoa; Chordata; Mammalia; Rodentia; Muridae
Source: RNAcentral